CGUAGUCUGAUUAAAGCUAACGUAGCAUUAAGCUAACGUAGCAUUAAGCUAACGAUGUUUGUGUUGAGUUUCAUGUAAACAGCUGAAGUGGGUUGUGUUACUGUAAUGUGGUGCACUUAGUUAAUAUAACUGUUCAUGGAGACGCUGGUUCACAUUAAUGUAACGUUUAGAAAACCUAAAUGUGAUUAAAACAGUAAGGUUAAGGUUCUGUGUUGUCAGUAGUCCUGAAUAUCUGCUGAGUCUCUGAAGUUAAACUGGAGAAAACAGUAAAUCUGCUCUCUAGUCGUUAACGUUGUUUAAUGACUGAUUCACAUGUUGUAGUACAUCUUAGUGCAGAUUAGAAAAAAACCUCCCAGAAUAUGUCCAAAAUAAUGAUGAACACUACAGUUAUUACAUUUAAAUUACAGCACAGAGAAGCUGGAUAAUAAAAUCCUCUCCUCUAAAGCUAAAGUGACUACAGGCCUUUCUGUCUUUCAGUGCUUGGAAAACUACAUGAAAUAGGAAAUCUGUCCAGGGUCACUUUAAAAUGAACCUCUGCUGUUGAUGCUGAUACUGGAAUGUCUGUCUUCAUCUCAGGUGUCUCAUGUUCACUGUGAGGAUCUUCUGAGUGAAGCGACCAGCAGAAAAAACCUCAUCUGGAUGUGAAGGAGACUGAAUGGACGACAUCCUCAGUGAACCACUUCCUGUUUAGCUUUCACUUACAGAAGAGUGAAAGUAGCAGUUCCUCCUGAAGGUCAGAGAUUGCAGCAUCUGAGGGCCUCUUCAAAAGAAGACGUAGUUGAUGAAGGCGUUCUGGAGCAGGACCAGAAAGACCACGACCAAGCAGCCUUGAGAUCUUAGACAGCGUCUCCCUGAGGUCCCUCUCUAUCUCCCCACACAUCUACCAACCACUGGAACACAUCUCCAAAGUUCUUCUGGACCAGCUCAGCUUCCCCUCAGAAGAAGUGGCGCCACCUGCCAGAUGAAGGAGCCUUUUGAGAGGCAGCUGGCAUCGUGAUUGGACUGUACUUUGGUCUGUUCCAAUCCAGCUUCAGCUCCAGAGACGGCAGGCGGGACGAGUCAACGGAGGCCUGGUGGACGAAGACCAAAGAACUACAGACUCUUCACAACCUGCUCAAACUCUUGGUACAGGACCUCACCACACGGGUCAAGAAGGUUUCCUUCUCAUUUCUACUCUGAAGCUCACCUUCUCCUGCUCAAACUGCUGACAAAUGUUUCUGCUGCUCUAAAGUCUGGUCUCCAGAACUUCCUAAAAACUCUCAAAGUCUCUUCUGCUGCAGGUUGCUUUGUAGAACUGUUGCAGAAAACCUCACUAAACCACAUGGAGGGGCCUCAAGAUAGUCGUCCAAAUGAAACCAUACAAAAACCAAACUAGCACAACCCAAACGCUAAAGUCUCCUGCAGCCUACCAGAGAACCUCUGAAAACAGAGAAUCAGGACAGGAACUCUUACCUUCUGGACAACCAACGUUGGUUCUCAAACAAGAAUACAGAAUGUGUCUGACCAAAAACCUCUGAAGACUCACUACAGCCAAGAUAAAGACACAGCUGCACCAAAUCCACUAAUCACUGCACACAUUAGAACCAUGUGCUAACUGUGGCUAAAGAACCACAUUUACCAAGACAACUAUCCAGUACAAAGCCCUAAAACACACCAAGAAACACAUUAAAGAUGAUUUUACUGCUGGAAGCUGCAAGCCAACGCCUAAAAAACAAACUAAAGAAACGGAGCCAAACCCGGUUCACUGGUGAACAGAAGCAGAGGAAAUGUUUGGCUGCAGCUAAAUAAAGCAGGAAGACACUGAGCUGCUCAGGUGUUCCUGAUAACACCAAGCAGCCACCUGGACAGCCAAUAGGAACACAGCUUCCUGGAAGUCCAGAGGGCUGGCUUAGUCAAAGAAAUUUAGUUUAAAGUUGAAGCAGAAAGUUAACAAAGAAAGUUGAAAACCACCUUCUGAUCCCUGGAGCAGUGAUAUACUGCAGGAUACACCAUAUGCUCUACUUUGAUGGACUGCAUGACAAAUUCUCCCAUAAAUUCUAUGCUGGCAAGAUUAAUCUGACAUUUUGAGACAUAAUAGUAUUCAGUUUCUGUCUGUAUGGAAACUGCAAAGCUAGAAUGAACAGUCAGUCAACUUGAUUUAGCAUCAAACCCCAAGGAGUAGGAAAGAGCUGCAAAGUUUUGUAAAAAAUUGAAACUAGACUGAAUAAAAAUAUAAAC
This is a long non-coding RNA of Amphiprion ocellaris (clown anemonefish), 2217 nucleotides long. The record is from Ensembl. NCBI's taxonomy places the organism in Eukaryota, Metazoa, Chordata, Actinopteri, Pomacentridae.